This is a non-coding RNA of Paramuricea clavata, 73 nucleotides long. Lineage: Eukaryota; Metazoa; Cnidaria; Anthozoa; Malacalcyonacea; Plexauridae. The record is from the annotation of a GenBank genome assembly.
UGACGCGUAGCUCAGUUGGCAGAGCAUUGGGCUAGUAUUCCAAAGGUCGUAGGUUCGAUUCCCACCGUGGCCA